Long non-coding RNA from Lycium barbarum (goji berry), 1838 nucleotides. RefSeq lists it as uncharacterized. The record is from RefSeq and is a predicted model, not a curated record. Lineage: Eukaryota; Viridiplantae; Streptophyta; Magnoliopsida; Solanales; Solanaceae. The transcript has 4 exons.
AAAUUCAAGGCUGCUGGCUCACGUAAAGCCAUGGGAUUAACUAACCAGCAGCUAAUCAAAUUUUAACUUAAGAAAUUGCUGCAAACAAAAGUGAAUAGAGGAAAAACGCAUAACUUGUACACAAAAGCAAUUUGCUGCUCGUAUUCGGUCAAUUAAGCACCUAUUGAGAAUUGUUAUUCGGAAUCGCUGGAGGAUACGUGAAGUUGAAGUAAGCUUGUGGUUCGAGAUACUGUUGAUUACGUUUGAGGCACUACUGGAUAGGAUUAGCAUUCGGCUCAGCAUUUUCCGCUUCUCUUCUCGGUAGGAAUUCAGACUCGUCUAUUUUACAAUGAUUUAGUAUUUCGGGGUAUGCCCCGAGGACAUAUGUUCUUGUUGGUAUUCUUUUAGAGGCUCAUGACUUAGCCUAGUGGGUUAUGUUAGUUUCAUGUUUUAGUCUUUAUGUUUUCAUGAGAUUUUCACAAUUCGUAUUUCAGUAUAUAAUAUAGAUUUCGGUAUGUUCAGUUAGUGCUUUAUUGGGUAAUUUUUGCUAAUUAAUUCAGUAAAUGUUAUGACAGACAACUUAACUCAGGUUCGCUCGACGGGUAGCUUAGGUCGGGUGCCAAUCACGUCCUACCCUAGUUUUGGGGUGUGACACAUGUAUACACUAGGUGUCAUAUAUUUGUAUACACUAAAAAGGAGGCCAGCCUUAAUAUAAAAUUAUUGGACCGAGUCCAGCCCAAACUAGGGCAAGACUCGGCCCAACCCUUCAAUAAAGAUAAGGGGUAUAUCCCUAUUUUCUCAUUUUAUCUUCCAAACGGCCCUUUCCCUUUACCCCCUUCUCUCUCUUCCUCUUCCGUGAACCCUUAGCGCCGCCUCGUAUUUCUCUCUUCUCUCUCGUCCAAAAAUGGCAAAAAUACAGGGUGUAGCAGAUAAGCACAGAUUUUGCAUGUCUAUUGUAGUGAAACAUUUAAUGUUUCACUUGAUUUCACGAAAAUAUAAUCCCAAACAUGGUAAUAAAUCGUUUCUUUGCUUUAUUUUCUUUAUUAUUAUGAGAUCUAUGUGCUUUAUUGUUGUACCUUGCUUGAAUAUCAUUGGUUGAACAAGAAUGGGUCAGAUCGAGUCAAGCAAGACUCAGAUCUGACCAUUCCCUGUUGAUUCAAGAUAAUCUUAGCCGUGUAAAGGCUUACAAAGGCUAAUUUUAGAGAAAAUGUGUUUGUCCCACAUCGUAUGUUUAAGGCUUUGAAUGACUUUGGAGGUUCUAUAAAUAGAAUCCCAACACGAGGAAAAAAAAAGGAGGGAGGAAAAAGAGAAAAAAAGAGAGGUUUUUAGAGUUUGCAAAAAUUCUGGCAAUCUCAGAGCUUUGUUUUGAGGAUUAUAAGUCAAAAUCCUAAGCUCAUUGUAAAAUUUUAAAGAUUUGUUUUUCGUUCUAGGGUUUAAGUCUUUUUUUUUUUAACUUCUAAAAUAUUCGUAUUUUUCCUUCAUUUUUCCGUGUGGUUGAGUCGGAGUUUGGUAGCACAAAGGCUCUAAGUUCAACUCUUGACAAAGGCUGCACACCAAAAAGGCCAAGGUUCAGCCACUAUAUUGGGCCAAAGGCCUAAUUAGAAAAUUCUUACGAAAUUAUUGAGUCUGAGAAAAAGGAAGGGAAGCUAGUAUAUAUAUUUGAAGGCCCAGUCAUGGGUGAAAAUGACAUGAAGGCCUAACCAUGGGUAAAAAUGGUCCAUUAGGGGUCUGGUACACCCCUAACUUAUUCCUCUUUCUUUAAAUUUCAUUACGAUGUUUCCUUUAUUUAAAGUGUUGUAUUUGUAUGAUGUAAAACAAAACUCACAUUAUUAUUGGAAUUAUUUAUGGUUUGGACUAGA